UUGAUAGGUCGAAGGUGUAAGUGCAGCAAUGUAUUUAGCUUAUCGAUACUAAUAGGUCGAGGACUUGACCAA
Molecule: ribosomal RNA, 72 nt
Filed under: Clostridioides difficile
Lineage: Bacteria; Bacillati; Bacillota; Clostridia; Peptostreptococcales; Peptostreptococcaceae
Also listed under: 2 other names
Description: partial 23S ribosomal RNA
Rfam family: Bacterial large subunit ribosomal RNA
Source: RNAcentral